GGUACCGGGAGUUCCGAGAGGAGGAGGAGGAGAAGGAGGAGGAGGAGGAGGAGGAGGAGCGGGAGGAGCGGAGAGAUCCCCGAGGCGGCGGGCGCGGGGUUUUUCCCGGUGCUCUCCCGGUCCGGUCCCGGUUCUCACGCUCCCCUCCCGGUCCCAUCCCGGUGUUUUUCCCGCUCCUCUCCCUGUCCCAUCCCGGUGUUUUUCCCGCUCCUCUCCCGGUCCCAUCCCGGUGUUUUUACCUGUGUUCUCCCGGUCUGCUCCCGCUCCUCACGGCUUCUCCCCCGAUCCCAUCCCGGUCCUCUCCCGGUGCUUUCCUCCCGGUGCUCCCGCGAUCCGGUCCCGGUUCUCCCUCGGUCCGAUCCCGGUCUUAUCCCGGUCCUCUCCCGGUCCUAUCCCGGUGUUCUCACGGCUCCUCCCACUCCUCCCCCGGUCCGCUCCCGCUCCCAUCCCGGUGUUGUCCCCGCUCCUUCCCCUCCCGCAGCCGCCGGGAUGAAGACGGAGGAGGCUCCGUCCUGUCUCCAGCAGGCGACGGCCGUCCUGGGAUUCGGGCAGUAUCCCGACCCCCUGGAUAAAUCCUUUGGAAUCACAGCGUAUCCCAAACCUCUGGAAAACCCUCUGGAGCCGCGGUUUAUCCCGAUCCUUGGCUGAUUCUGGGGCUUGAGAUCCUCCCCAUCCCACCCCAAACGUGCAGUUCCCGUUUGGAAUAAUUCGGGAUAACACCGGGAUGUGGCCCCCGAGCUGCCUCCCCCCCUCUAAUCCUUGCCGGAAUUUCGGGAUCCUCUCCACGUCCCUUUUCCCACUUUCCAUGGUUUUUUCCCCUCUUCAUUACCACUAUUUACGGGUCCGAACCGCCGCGUUUUCCCAAUUCCCGGUAUUUUCAGGAAUUUUUUUAGGGCGGAAUCUCCUUUACUUUCAGUUUUACCUCUCUCUCCCGGGCGAGUUUUCCCGGGAUUUUUCCCAUCCCCGUUUCCCCG
Chiroxiphia lanceolata (lance-tailed manakin) is the source of this 974-nucleotide long non-coding RNA. RefSeq lists it as uncharacterized. The transcript has 2 exons. NCBI's taxonomy places the organism in Eukaryota, Metazoa, Chordata, Aves, Passeriformes, Pipridae. The record is from RefSeq and is a predicted model, not a curated record.